This 253-nucleotide ribosomal RNA is filed under the name uncultured bacterium. RNAcentral's name for it is "partial 16S ribosomal RNA". It matches the Rfam family "Bacterial small subunit ribosomal RNA", at positions 524 to 776 of the family's 1533-position model. The record is from RNAcentral.
GACAUAGGUGGCGAACGUUAUCCGGAUUUAUUGGGUUUAAAGGGUGCGUAGGCGGGCUAUUAAGUCAGUGGUGAAAGCCCCAAGCUUAACUUGGGAACUGCCAUUGAUACUGAUGGUCUUGAGUACAUUUGAGGUGGGCGGAAUGUGUCAUGUAGCGGUGAAAUGCUUAGAUAUGACACAGAACACCGAUUGCGAAGGCAGCUCACUAAACUGUAACUGACGCUGAGGCACGAAAGCGUGGGGAGCAAACAGG